GUUUCAAUGGAUAGCUUUCGAUACAGUGAGAAACCACAGCUUGGCCAACACCCAGGCAUUCAGCAAUAAAAUUCUGGUGCUGUGACUUGGAUUGCAGUGCUUGUGGCUCAGUGGCCACAGGCUAGAGAGAUCUGGAAACCCUCCCAGCAGCUGCCCAGCUAUAUUCAUCCAGAGGCGGGUUUUUGUUUCUCUCUCUUCCCUCACUGCUGCUGGCCCCAACCAUAUUCUUGAUUACUUAUGAAGGACAGGCUUUGAAAUUUGACAUCUGUAUCCAUCAAGGAGGGUAAGGAAACUGAAAUAUGACAAGGUUAAAUGAUUCAGAUGAGGGGCCGGAAAGCACGCCUCCCGAGACCCAUUCCUGGAAGCGGGUCUUUAAAGCUGCUCUCAGUUUAAAAUCAACCAAAUGCUCAGAUAUCAGAUGCGGAAACUGAGGCACAGGGAAUUUGAACAACUUGCUCAAGGUCAUAAAGCUAGAAGGAGGCACAGCCAAGCAUGGGCUUGUGUGACCUCAAAGCCUAUGUUCUCGCCACUGCUCUAAACUGUUUAUUCUGUUGGCUUGUCAUAAUGAUUGAAGACAAUGUAUAUAAAUCACAGAGGGUAGGACUCAGCUUGUAAUAUGUCCUCCAUACAUUUUAUCGAACAUUAUUAAUUAAUAAACAACAGAUAAAUAACAACAGUGCUUUGUUUGAUUAAAUUAUAUAUAUGAUUAUAUUUCUUCAGUGAAAUUGUUGGUUAUGCAUUUCUUACAAAUAAUUCACAAAUAUUAAUGAAUGUCUGUGUUGCAGCAGGCAUUUUGCUCACCACGGUGGACCUGGGGGUAUGUGAAAUAGGCACCAUCUCUGCUCUCACAAAUUUAAUACGUGCAGGCUGCUGGAUUGGACUAAAGUCCUGAGGAGAACUAUAACAAUCUCUUAGAGGGAACAGUGAUUAAACAGGGAUCAAUUGUGCCACCCAUAUAGCCUUCCUACUUACUGAUCAAGAAUGAUAGCAGACCUUAGCAAGUGCAAAUCAACAAGAGGAAUCCAAUGGUGCUAUUCACUACUAUGAAGCUUUUCAUUUUGCCUCUUACUAAGAUUUCAAAGCUAUUCUUGCCCCCCACCCCACACAAAAACAAAUACUGUGCAAUCUCACUUACAUGUGGAAUCUGAAAAAGUUGAACUCGUAGAAGCAGAGAGUACAAUAGUGGGUGCCAUGGGCUGGGGGUGGAGGAAAUGGGAGAUGAUAGUCAAGGGUACAAACUUUCAGUUAUAAGAUGAACAAGUUCUGGGGCUCUAAUGUACACGAUGGGUGGUGAUGAAUGUUUUAAUUAAUUUGAUUAUUGUAAGAAUUACACAAUGUAUACAUUUAUCUAAUCAUCAUAUUAUAUACCUU
This 1371-nucleotide long non-coding RNA is filed under the name Homo sapiens (human). RNAcentral describes it as "non-protein coding lnc-TMEM64-2:2". Lineage: Eukaryota; Metazoa; Chordata; Mammalia; Primates; Hominidae. The record is from RNAcentral.